Pecten maximus is the source of this 4157-nucleotide RNA transcript. It is a transcript of the gene named serine/arginine-rich splicing factor 1-like, with no coding region annotated. The transcript has 6 exons. Lineage: Eukaryota; Metazoa; Mollusca; Bivalvia; Pectinida; Pectinidae. The record is from RefSeq and is a predicted model, not a curated record.
CUCGUUUUCAUUAUUGCCCACGCUAUCGGCUUCCCUACCUUUGUUGCUUGUACUGAAAAGUGAAACAACUAUUUUCAGCAAACAUGUCGUAUAAAGACGCCAGAAUUUACGUCGGAAAUCUACCACCAGACAUCCGCGAAAGAGACAUCGAAGAUUUAUUUUUAAAAUAUGGAAGAAUUAUCUACGUCGACUUAAAGAACCGGAGAGGACCACCAUUUGCUUUCGUUGAAUUUUCCGAUCCAAGAGAUGCUGAAGAUGCUGUUCAUGCUCGAAAUGGAUAUGGCUAUGAUGGCUACAACCUGAGAGUGGAAUUUCCUCGUGGAAGUGGAGGAUACAGAAUGGGUGGUGGUGGUGGUGGACAACAACGUUCAGGAGGUGGUGGUAUGGGUGGAGGAGGUGGCAGAGGCAGCUUUGGACAGGGCCGCUUUUCAGCUUCACGUAGAUCAGAGUAUCGAGUAUUAGUAUCAGGGUUACCACCUACAGGAAGUUGGCAAGAUUUGAAAGACCACAUGCGUGAGGCUGGAGAUGUUUGUUAUGCUGAUGUCUACAAAGAUGGAACAGGAGUAGUGGAGUAUUUACGCCAUGAUGAUAUGAAAUAUGCCGUCAGGAAACUGGAUGACACCAAGUUUAGAUCACAUGAGGGAGAGACAUCAUAUGUGCGUGUAAAAGAAGACAAAGGAGGUCGCUCUCGUAGUCGCAGUCCAAGAGGAUCAUCUCCACGUUACGACCGGUCACGAUCACGAUCAUAGAGUGAUCAACAGAGUACAGCAAAGUGCUGGUAAAAUUCAUUUUGAGAAGUUGGUGGAAAGCCAGGAAAAUAAGAAGUAAUGUGACAUAUACAAGGAGCACUCCAUGUUUCCUCACAGGAGAGGUGGCUUUUGCUCUGUGAGAUCCCUGGACAUAAAAGACUUUUCACUUUCUAAGCAAUGGAGGGCUUCAGACUAUGGUCUAAGCUUGUAAUACUCGGGAAGGAGUGAGUUCACUCAGAGGAAGCAAAUUGAGAUAAUGGUAUUGGAUUCAAUCUUUGGAAAUACUGUCCUCCCCAUAUUCCACUCGGAUAGAAUCUUUUGGAACCUCUCCUUGGGAUUGCGGGGUAGAGCUUUGUUGGAUCAACAUAGCGGAAAAAAUGUCCCAUAAGGAUAAAAUUCUGUUUGGAUCCACUCUUGGAUUUACCAGUAUUCGCAAAAAUCAUAUUUCUUUGGAAAAGAGGGAAAAUUUCAGGAAUCAACUCUAUCAAAAUUUUGACAAAUGGGAGAGCUCUUGGGAACUAGCACAGGGAGAGAUGGAAACAAGGAAACAGGAGAAAACCAUAUUUUUCUUUAUAUUGUUUAUUGAAUUCUUAAAACUUUAUAUUGCCUGUAUAAAGUUUUUGUGUUUCAAGCUGCUUUAGUAUAAAUGUAUUUAUUCUAAAACAACUCUUCAGGAAUUCAUAAAAUAAUGUUUUUUCUCUGAAAAGAUCUUAUUUGAAAAAUUCAAAUUCAAAUUUUAUGAGAACAUAAUUUUUUUGAUCGCAAAGAAAAAUAUAGCUCCUUCUGGACCCUGUCUGUGUUUGGAAAACAUCCCCCUGGAAAACUGAAUCCAAUAUCAAAUUAUAGGAUCUUGUGGAUCUUUGGAAGGGUGGAUCGCUAUAGGAUCAGGCUGUGUACAGGCGUGGACUACUCGAGUACACAGUAGGAUUGCUAUAGGAUCACAGUAGGAGGAAAAGAUCUAGGAGAGACCCUUUCUCUUGGAUCACUACAGGAUCUUACUAGGAUCACUGAUGGAUCUUAGGAUAUGUCUAAGAGUUCCUAGGAUCACAAACUGAUUGAUAACAAAUCUUAGAACAUGUCUGCCUUAGUAUUGCUAAGAUUGUUGAUAGGUCUUACUUGGAUCUUCAGAAUUGUCUACUUUAAAAUAGUAAGGAAUGCUGACAGAUCUUUGGAAACAAAUAGCUUAAAUAAUUAGUCACUGGCAGAGAUCACUUGGAGUUUGGGAUACCUGUAGUAUAGAUAGCUAGGAUCUUCAGAAACAUCUAACUUAGGAUCAAUGGCAGAUUUUGCUAGGAUCAUCGGAAACAUCUAGCUUAUAUAAACUAGGAAUCUUGGUCUAACCAUGCUAUGAUCAUCAGAAACAUCUACAUUUGUAACUUGGGAUCAUUGACAAAGUUUGCCAAGGUUUUGGAAACAUCAGGCUGAAAAUAAAAAUCACUGGCAGAUUUUGCUCUGGUCUUUGGAAACAUCUAGCUGAAAAUAACUAGGAUUAUUUGUCGGAUCAACAGAAACAUCUGCAUUUGUAACUUAGGAUCGUUGACAGAUUUGGUAAGAAGUUUGGAAACAUCUAGCUUUAAAUGAUAAUUACUGGUGGAUUUUGCUUGGAUCUUUGGAAGCAUCUAGCUUAGGAUAACUAGGAUCAACAGAAACAUCUUACUUAAGAUCACUGACAGGUCUUGAUAGGAUCUCCGCUUCCGGAAACAUCUAGUUUUGAAUUACUGCGAUCGCUGACAUAUUUGCACAGAUCUUCAGAUGGAUCUUGUUUAGAUCACUGGGAAAGCUGGCGGAUUUUGCUCGGAUCUUCGGAUGCAUCUAGCUUAGGAUAACUAGGACUCUUUAGUCGGAUUAUGCUAGGAUCUCCAGAAACAGCUAGCUUAGAUUUUAUUAGAGAAUGCCAAGAUAUCUUGCUCGGAUCUUGGGGAACGUAAGAAUUACUAGGAUCGCCGAAGGAUCUUAGGAGGAAAAUAGAGCUAAAAUAACUAAGAACAAGGACAGAUCUUGAUCUGAUUGCUGAGGAUUCUUUGGAUACAUCUAGCUUAGAAUUGAUAGGAUACAUGUAGCUGACAAAUCUUGGAUUACUAAUAGACCAUAUAUUACUGGGAUUUCUGUUGGAUCUUGUGUGUCAAGCUUCUAGGAUCUGUACAGGGUUUUGAUGGGAUCACUGAAGGAAAUGUCAAAAAUGAGUUCCGUGAAUUUUUUAACUCGCCCUGUCCAAAGGAUUAAGGUGAACUUAUGACAUACCGUGGCAUCUGUCUGUCCGUCCGUUCGUCUGUCCGUCAGUCAGUCAACAAUUGACUUCUUCAUAACUGCUUAUCAGAAUUGAAAAAAAUUUGACUAGUAGCAUCAAUAUGGGGUGGGGAUUAGAAAUUGUACAAAUGAUUGGGCUGAGGGGCAGGGCCAAAAGGGAUCAAUUUGGCUAAAUUGAUAUAAACGACUUCUCUGUAACUAAGCAAUGGAUAUCGCUCAUAUUUGAUUUGUAGCAUCAUUAUGGGGUAGGGAUACUAAAUUUUACAAAUGGUGGGGCCUGAGGGCGGGGCCAAAAGUGGUCAAUUUGGCUAAAAUGAUAUGAACAACUUCUGCACUGAAACUAAGCUAUGGAUAUCACUUAUAGUUGACUGGUAGCAUCAUUUUGGGGUAGGGAUUCAAAAUUGUACAAAUGAUGAGGCUGACCCCCCUGUGGGCUACAGGCUGGGGCCAAAAGGGAUCAAUUUGGCUAAAUUGAUAUAAUCUACUUCUCUGAAACUGACCAAUGGAUAUCGCUCCUGUUUGACUGGUAGCAUCCUUAUGGGGUAGGAAAACGAAAUUGUACAAACGGUGGGGCUGACCCCCUGAGGGCAUGAGGGGCGGGGCCAAAAGGGGUACAUUUUGCUAAAUUGCUAUAAACAAUCAAUUGUCUGAAAGUAAGCGAUGAAUAUCUAUCAUAUUUGACUGGUAGCAUCCUUAGGGGGUGGGGAUUCAAAAAAUGUAAAUGGUGAGGUUGACCCCCUAGGGUGUCUAUUUGGCAAUAUUUAUAUUAAUGACUUCUCUGGAACUAAGCAAUGAUUGACAUUGAUGAUUUCAGUGGUAACAUCCCCAGGAGGCCCAGGGGUCUUUCCCAACACCAAGGGACUUAUAGCUUUAAUUACAAACAUGUUGGAUCUCUACUUUGUUUCUGGGUUAUAUCUUUGAAGCAGUUGAGAUCCCAACAAAAUAAUCAUACAUCAACAAAUAAAGUUAUUAGCAAAUGGAACAUAAACAUUAUUUUGAUGUUUGCUCAAAUAAACCAGCUGAGCAAUACAGGCCCUCUGGGCCUCUUGUUAGAAAUUGUGUGGUAAUGAAAAGUUCUAGGACACAAAUUACUAUUUAAGGAUCAGAAAAGGAUGACCGGAAAAGCCUUCUGUAAUAAAGACCAUUUAUAAUGCAUCAAAA